AGGGAUUGCCUCAGUAACGGCGAGUGAAGCGGCAACAGCUCAAAUUUGAAAUCUGGCUCCUUCGGGGCCCGAGUUGUAAUUUGCAGAGGAUGCGUCGGGUACGGGUUCCCUCCGAGUUCCCUGGAACGGGACGCCAUAGAGGGUGAGAGCCCCGUCUGGUAGGACACCCAGCCCAUGUGACGCUCCCUCGACGAGUCGAGUAGUUUGGGAAUGCUGCUCUAACGGGAGGUAUACUCCUUCCAAGGCUAAAUACCGGCUGGAGACCGAUAGCGCACAAGUAGAGUGAUCGAAAGAUGAAAAGCACUUUGAAAAGAGAGUCAAACAGCACGUGAAAUUGUUAAAAGGGAAGCGCUCGCUACCAGACUUGGGUUCGGCGGUUCAACCGGGGCCAUGCCCCGGGGCACUCCGCCGGCCCAGGCCAGCAUCAGCUUUCCGUCGGGGGCAAAGGCGUCGGGAAUGUGGCUCCCCCUCGGGGGAGUGUUAUAGCCCGGCGCGUCAUACCCUUCGGGGGGCUGAGGUACGCGCUUCUGCAAGGAUGCUGGCGUAAUGGUAGCUAGUGACCCGUCUUGAAACACGGGACCA
RNAcentral lists this ribosomal RNA (582 nucleotides) under Plectosphaerella alismatis. RNAcentral's name for it is "eukaryotic LSU rRNA". It matches the Rfam family "Eukaryotic large subunit ribosomal RNA", at positions 70 to 664 of the family's 3401-position model. Lineage: Eukaryota; Fungi; Ascomycota; Sordariomycetes; Glomerellales; Plectosphaerellaceae. The record is from RNAcentral.